UGCCUCGGUUGCAAGGGGAAAUGACAUGACAUGAACAUAUUUUAUCCAUAACUAGUUCCACUUGUACUCUUAGCUUGUUUAUGCAGGAACAACAAAUUCAAGACAUUAUUUGACAAAGCCAACAUCAGAAUCAUCAAGAGGAGAUCGAGGGGACAACAGGUGACACCCUGGGCCCACAGGGAGGGGGUCGCCCGACCCCUCUUUGGUGGGACCUAGGUGUGCCACCUACUCCACCGACAUAAGGGACCAUUGUGGACAC
RNAcentral lists this long non-coding RNA (259 nucleotides) under Sorghum bicolor (sorghum). RNAcentral's name for it is "long non-coding RNA (SBIC_LNC003277)". The record is from RNAcentral. Lineage: Eukaryota; Viridiplantae; Streptophyta; Magnoliopsida; Poales; Poaceae.